CAACUGGGAUCUGAAAAUAUUAAAUGGAAAAGUACAAAAAAAAAUGCAUAGGUUUAUAAAUUAUUUGCCGUUCUCAGGAGCAAUGACAUCUCAGGUGUCCUGCUCAGUCCCAUCAAUGACUUGAAUCAUCCCUUUGUCCUACAUCCCCACGCUGUAUAAGUUCCCGCCCUUAGUCACUUCUGGUGGCCACAACACAGUGCUGUAUUCAAAUGCCUUCUAGAUGUCCUCUAACUCCAUUUUUUAUCUGAAGAAAAAUUGUAUUUUCUUUCUUCUUCCCCUACUUUCUUCCCUCUUUUCCUCUCCAUCCCCAAGCACUUACACGUUCUUAUCCCUGUAUCACAGGGAACUAGAGAGCUGAUUACUGGCAAACGGUUGCACCUUUCUCUGAGUGUGGUGAUUAAUGGCCAAAAGAUGCUAAAUGUGAAACAGUAAUUUGGUAAAGCUCUCGGGAGCCUAGUGCUAAGAACUUCUCAAAGGGGACAACUUAGUGAGAAAAAAUGGAAAAUAAACACACACAGUGUAAGACUUAGGCUGCAUAUAUAAGGUGAUGUGGGGGCGGAGUGGUAUUUUGUUUGGUGUUUUCUCCAUUGUAAGGCCUUAUUACCUGAGAUAAGUAAAAUUGUCUUCCUGCACAUAAACUUAGGAGGUUGAAUAUCCAAAAGAAUACAUGGGUCUAGGCUAGAAGAAUUUGAGUGACUGAAAUGAAGAAUUAAAAACCAAUGUUGCAUGAUGAUAAGAUCAUCAAAAUAUUCUUCUGUUGUAAGAAAUCUUGGUGCUUAGUAAAAAACAAAAGCAAAAGCAAAACAACUGGUAGAAAGUUGUGGGUUCAUUUUGCCUGACUGUGCCAGUUUCCCAAAUUGACUGAAUGAGGCGAUUUUCUGAGUACGUACUACAUGAAAUAUUUUAAGUUGUAAGAAGUAUUUUUUUAUUUUGAUUUUGUUGUGUUUUGUUUUGCUGUUAAGAUUUUGGCUUCACAGAACCUCAUCGAAGAGUUGAAAUCUUGUUGUCUUGAUUUAAAAGACCAUGAUAGUAAACUAAAUAAAUCACUCUAAGUGAAAAGGAGAUGCCAACAGGACAUGGAGAACCCAAAGUUUUAAUAACAUUUUAUGUUUACUUUGUAAACUCAGCUAAGAUUCAUUUCUUGCUGACAGUUGUUUUAGAAGCCAAAGAAAUAAAUUUGUCUUGGGCACAAUUGUUAUGAAUUUUAUUUUUACAGAAUCUGUAUUUUUCCUCUUUAGUUGUCAUGGCUUUCUGGGUUCUGUGUAGUGCACCCACAUUCCCCAAUCAUAUUGUCUCCAGACAGAAAUAAAGAGUUUGUAGAAAAUUAAAACACCGUUGGCAUUAGGAAAAAAGAAGGAAAUCACAAAAUCUCUCAUUUUUUUCUUGCCCUUCUCUAAGGGCGCGCACAGCCCAUGGAAUCCACUUGAGAGUAAAUCAGUAAUUGCCAUCGCAAGCUUUGCAUUCAUUCGGUCUCCAGGUAAGGCACCACAGCAGGCAUCCUCUGAUCUUCCCCUCAAACAAAAUAAAAUUUAAUCUUUUUGUUUCUUAAAUCUC
This is a long non-coding RNA of Myotis davidii, 1554 nucleotides long. RefSeq lists it as uncharacterized. Lineage: Eukaryota; Metazoa; Chordata; Mammalia; Chiroptera; Vespertilionidae. The record is from RefSeq and is a predicted model, not a curated record. The transcript has 2 exons.